Bubalus bubalis (water buffalo) is the source of this 229-nucleotide long non-coding RNA. RefSeq lists it as uncharacterized. The record is from RefSeq and is a predicted model, not a curated record. The transcript is spliced from 2 exons. NCBI's taxonomy places the organism in Eukaryota, Metazoa, Chordata, Mammalia, Artiodactyla, Bovidae.
UAUGGACGCCACAUGUGACUGCCGAACUAUGCUAGUGUGACUAUGGAACUAAGUUUUAAAUUUUAAUUACUUUAAAUUUAAAAACUGACACUCAAUUCACUUACCAAAAAAUUUAAAAAUAUACUUGGAACAAUUUGGGAAAUGUAAAAUGGCAUGUGUGGCUCACACUCAUUCUGGAGAACACUCGUCCAACAAAACCAAGGCAGACGCAAGAGGAAAGAGACUGGAA